AAGCACUUUUAUCGGGAACGAAACAUUGUCGGUGAAUAUCCGGCAAGACUGACGGUACCCGAGGAAUAAGCACCGGCUAACUUCGUGCCAGCAGCCGCGGUAAUACGAAGGGUGCAAGCGUUACUCGGAAUUACUGGGCGUAAAGGGUGCGUAGGUGGUCUGUUAAGUCUGCUGUGAAAUCCCCGGGCUCAACCUGGGAAUGGCAGUGGAUACUGGCAAGCCGGAGUGCGGUAGAGGGUAGUGGAAUUCCCGGUGUAGCAGUGAAAUGCGUAGAGAUCGGGAGGAACACCAGUGGCGAAGGCGGCUACCUGGACCAGCACUGACACUGAGGCACGAAAGCGUGGGGAGCAAACAGGAUUAGAUACCCUGGUAGUCCACGCCCUAAACGAUGCGAACUGGAUGUUGGGUGCAACUUGGCACUCAGUAUCGAAGCUAACGCGUUGAGUUCGCCGCCUGGGGAGUACGGUCGCAAGACUGAAACUCAAAGGAAUUGACGGGGGCCCGCACAAGCGGUGGAGUAUGUGGUUUAAUUCGAUGCAACGCGAAGAACCUUACCUGGUCUUGACAUGUCGCGAAUCCUGCAGAGAUGCGGGAGUGCCUUCGGGAAUGCGAACACAGGUGCUGCAUGGCUGUCGUCAGCUCGUGUCGUGAGAUGUUGGGUUAAGUCCCGCAACGAGCGCAACCCUUGUCCUUAGUUGCCAGCACGUAAAGGUGGGAACUCUAAGGAGACUGCCGGUGACAAACCGGAGGAAGGUGGGGAUGAUGUCAAGUCAUCAUGGCCCUUACGACCAGGGCUACACACGUACUACAAUGGGAGGUACAGAGGGAAGCCAAGCCGCGAGGCGGAGCCAAUCCCGAUAAAACCUCUCUCAGUCCGGAUCGCAGUCUGCAACUCGACUGCGUGAAGUCGGAAUCGCUAGUAAUCGCGAAUCAGC
RNAcentral lists this ribosomal RNA (935 nucleotides) under uncultured bacterium. Its description in RNAcentral is "bacterial SSU rRNA". It matches the Rfam family "Bacterial small subunit ribosomal RNA", at positions 428 to 1353 of the family's 1533-position model. The record is from RNAcentral.